GGGGAGUAGACAGAAGAGGAGUUUAAAUGGGGCUAUCCAGUGUGUUUGUCUGGUUUAACUGUGUGUCUGGUCAUUAUAGACUGUUUUCUUACUUCUUUUCUUAACUCUCUGUCUGUGACCUCAAUCUCUAUCCAGUACAGGAGCUCAGCAUCAGCUCCAAGGGAAAUAAGCAUGAGAGGACUGGGUGCCAGCUGCUGGAGACAGUGGGGCCUCAGCAUCAGCUCCUAGAGUGGGUGGAGGUCUUCAGCCCCUGGGGCAGGAGUAUGUCCCCGAAACAACUGCUGGCAGAUGGGGUGAGUGAGUUGGUAUGUGCAGAAAGUAUGAGUUUUCUGAAAGCUAUGCCCAAAGGAGGCCUUUACAUGAUUCAUCAAGAUGCCCACAAGGACAUGAAUCUUAUCACUGGGAAGGAAGUUUCCAUGAAUUAUGUUGAGCUGUUCAGGUAAAUGAAUUUACUACGUGACAUUUCCGACUCAUAAAAGUUGAAGUAUUUCAUUACAUUAAACAGCUACAAUUGAUUGCUCAUGAACAAGAACCAGGCCAGCAGUUAUUCACAUUAACUGAACAUUAUUCUGAACAGCAAAUACAUUUGAACAAUUUUUUCUUGAGAAAUCAUGUAUGUGAGAACAGCUGAAGUUUCUCUCAGAAAAAUCUUUCAGUAUUACUUCUCAAAGUUGUACACUGUAAUUUCAUUAUUGUUUCUCAUUGCUGUACAAGAGUGCUAGGAUUAUUUUAUAUUGAUCUCAUAAAAGUCAGUAACAUUUCUCCACAAAUAGAUGGACCAAGCAUUAAGAGAAAAAAAUGAACAGUUACAGCAACACCCUGUAAAAGAACUAGAGUUUUCAGUUGAUUUUAUCAGUCAUCUGGAAAGAAAUUCAUUCCUCUGUAAUUUUUUUUAAUCACAGUUUAUCUUAGGGGACAGUCCAUUCAUACAAUGUGUUGUGCUUUAGCUAGCUAACUGCAUGAUCUAAUUCACAUUAUCUUCUUUUUUUCCUUUAUUUAUGUAUUUAUUUAUUUG
Molecule: long non-coding RNA, 1015 nt
Filed under: Numida meleagris (helmeted guineafowl)
Lineage: Eukaryota; Metazoa; Chordata; Aves; Galliformes; Numididae
Description: lncRNA (ENSNMEG00000000912.1)
Source: RNAcentral